RNAcentral lists this ribosomal RNA (987 nucleotides) under Plasmodium knowlesi. Its description in RNAcentral is "SSU rRNA". It matches the Rfam family "Eukaryotic small subunit ribosomal RNA", at positions 638 to 1428 of the family's 1831-position model. The record is from RNAcentral. Lineage: Eukaryota; Apicomplexa; Aconoidasida; Haemosporida; Plasmodiidae.
ACAUAACUGAUGCCUCCGCGUAUCGACUUUGUGCGCAUUUUAGCUAUUAUGUGUUCUUUUAAUUAAAAUGAUUCUUUUUAAGAUUCAUCUAUUAAAAAUUUGCUUCGGCAUAAUUUUUUUUGAUGAUCUUGUUACUUUGAGUAAAUUAGAGUGUUCAAAGCAAACAGAUAUAGCAUUUGUGCGUUUGAAUACUACAGCAUGGAAUAACAAAAUUGAACAAGUCAGAAUUUUUUUGUUCUUUUUCCUUAUUUUGGCUUAGUUACGAUUAAUAGGAGUAGCUUGGGGGCAUUUGUAUUCAGAUGUCAGAGGUGAAAUUCUUAGAUUUUCUGGAGACAAACAACUGCGAAAGCAUUUGCCUAAAAUACUUCCAUUAAUCAAGAACGAAAGUUAAGGGAGUGAAGACGAUCAGAUACCGUCGUAAUCUUAACCAUAAACUAUGCCGACUAGGCUUUGGAUGAAAGAUUUUAAAAUAAGAGUUUUUCUUUUCUCUCCGGAGAUUAGAACUCUUAGAUUGCUUCCUUCAGUGCCUUAUGAGAAAUCAAAGUCUUUGGGUUCUGGGGCGAGUAUUCGCGCAAGCGAGAAAGUUAAAAGAAUUGACGGAAGGGCACCACCAGGCGUGGAGCUUGCGGCUUAAUUUGACUCAACACGGGAAAACUCACUAGUUUAAGACAAGAGUAGGAUUGACAGAUUAAUAGCUCUUUCUUGAUUUCUUGGAUGGUGAUGCAUGGCCGUUUUUAGUUCGUGAAUAUGAUUUGUCUGGUUAAUUCCGAUAACGAACGAGAUCUUAACCUGCUAAUUAGCGGCAAAUACGAUAUAUUCUUAUGUAGAAUUGAAUAUAGUGGAUUUGUUGGAUUUUGAAGAAAAUAUUGGAAUUACGUUAAAUGUGAUUCCUUUCCCUUUUCUACUUAAUUUACAUUUCCAUCUAUUUCUUUUUUGCGUAUGAAUGUAUUUGCUUGAUUGUAAAGCUUCUUAGAGGAACGAUGUGUG